Molecule: ribosomal RNA, 253 nt
Filed under: uncultured bacterium
Lineage: Bacteria
Description: partial 16S ribosomal RNA
Rfam family: Bacterial small subunit ribosomal RNA
Source: RNAcentral
UACGUAGGGGGCAAGCGUUGUCCGGAAUCAUUGGGCGUAAAGCGCGCGUAGGCGGCCCGGUAAGUCCGUUGUGAAAGUCAAAGGCUCAACCUUUGAACGCCGAUGGAUACUGCCGGGCUAGAGUCCGGAAGAGGCGAGUGGGAUUCCUGGUGUAGCGGUGGAAUGCGCAGAUAUCAGGAGGAACACCAAUAGCGAAGGCAGCUCGCUGGGACGGUACUGACGCUGAGACGCGAAAGCGUGGGGAGCAAACAGG